GCAACAUAGUGAGACCUUGUCAACAAAAAAAUUUUAAAAAGACAAAAUUAGCCAGGUAUCGUGGUGCACACCUGUGGUCCCAGCUACUCUGGAGGCUGAGGUGGGUGGAUGGCUUCAACCUGGGAGGUUGAGGCUUCAGCGAGCCUUGAUCUUGCCACUUGGGCUUCAGCCUGGGCAAGAUCCUGUCUCAAAAAAAAAAAAAAAGAGAGAGAAAAGAAAGAAAAGAAAGAGGCAUGAGUGGGAGGAAUGUAGGCCACUGACCAGAUAUCCAGCAGGAGGCCAAGAGUGAAGUUGUUUGCAGUGUUAGGGAAGGUCGUGGGGCCAGGGCUGGGGCAGAAGGGUGGUCACUGUCACAGAUGAGCUCUGAGCUGCCCAUGAGAAGGAAGAAAUAGAGAAAAAGCAAAACCAUUUAAGAAGUGGAGAUAGAAAGACGAGCGCUUUGAUGUACAUUGGAAUGGCUGCAGCUGCGGCCAGAAAGGAGCACGUCCUCUCCCCAGAGAAACUUCCAGGGGAAAACACCAGGCUAGGAGUCCAGAGGCCCGAGUGCGAGUCCCGGGACUCCUGUAAGUCACAGGAGCGGACGCAUGCCACUUACCCGUGUCCUCAGCUGGAAAGUGAGAAUGACGGUGCCACCCUCUCCUUCUCGGGCCUCCCCUGCCCAGUUUUCUCGGUGCCUCAGUGCCCUCCUCCAGACAGAGGGGGUGAGGAAAGUGCUUGCUUCGCAGGGCAGUGAUGAGGGUCCAAGGAGGCAGCGCACGGUAAACUCCCUCCGAGGAAGCCAGGCUCGCAGUCAGCACUCAGCAUCGUUGUUGCUGCUGCUUCUGCU
This 826-nucleotide long non-coding RNA is filed under the name Homo sapiens (human). Its description in RNAcentral is "HSALNT0020427". The record is from RNAcentral. Lineage: Eukaryota; Metazoa; Chordata; Mammalia; Primates; Hominidae.